CAAUAAUUUAUAGGCUUACAGCUUCACUCUGUCAAGAGGAUGCAGAAUGAGAACUCAUUCUCCUCUCUUUUUUACCUUUCCAACUUUCUGACAUCAGAAUUUUGCUCAUGAUAUUAGAAUUUUGACCUUGCUAUGUUGGUCAACUUGUGGCGGAGUCUCUUAUAGUCAGAUCUUUUGAUGUUGCAAGGCAGGUAAACUUCUCAUUUUGAAGCAGGGGAAAACAAACAAGCCUUGGUAAAAUUGGUAACUUGGGAGAGAUGUGCGGAUAAGCUUCAUUACAAGAAGAGAAAGGACAGGAAAGAGAAGGAGAAAUUGGUGAAGCUGGCAAAUUGUGAAAGCGAAAGAAAG
This is a long non-coding RNA of Rhodamnia argentea, 348 nucleotides long. RefSeq lists it as uncharacterized. The transcript is spliced from 4 exons. The record is from RefSeq and is a predicted model, not a curated record. Lineage: Eukaryota; Viridiplantae; Streptophyta; Magnoliopsida; Myrtales; Myrtaceae.